Molecule: ribosomal RNA, 524 nt
Filed under: uncultured bacterium
Lineage: Bacteria
Description: partial 16S ribosomal RNA
Rfam family: Bacterial small subunit ribosomal RNA
Source: RNAcentral
GACGAACGCUGGCGGCGUGCCUAAUACAUGCAAGUCGAACGCUUCUUUUUCCACCGGAGCUUGCUCCACCGGAAAAAGAGGAGUGGCGAACGGGUGAGUAACACGUGGGUAACCUGCCCAUCAGAAGGGGAUAACACUUGGAAACAGGUGCUAAUACCGUAUAACAAUCGAAACCGCAUGGUUUUGAUUUGAAAGGCGCUUUCGGGUGUCGCUGAUGGAUGGACCCGCGGUGCAUUAGCUAGUCGGUGAGGUAACGGCUCACCAAGGCCACGAGGCAUAGCCGACCUGAGAGGGUGAUCGGCCACAUUGGGACUGAGACACGGCCCAAACUCCUACGGGAGGCAGCAGUAGGGAAUCUUCGGCAAUGGACGAAAGUCUGACCGAGCAACGCCGCGUGAGUGAAGAAGGUUUUCGGAUCGUAAAACUCUGUUGUUAGAGAAGAACAAGGAUGAGAGUAACUGUUCAUCCCUUGACGGUAUCUAACCAGAAAGCCACGGCUAACUACGUGCCAGCCGCCGCCGUAA